GAGAGAUGGCUCAGUGGUUAUGAGCACUGAUUGCUCUUGCAGAGGAGCCUGGGUUCAAGUCCCAGCACUCACA
Molecule: transfer RNA, 73 nt
Filed under: Mus musculus (house mouse)
Lineage: Eukaryota; Metazoa; Chordata; Mammalia; Rodentia; Muridae
Description: tRNA-Ser
Source: RNAcentral